ACACUCCUGCGGGAGGCAGCAGUGGGGAAUUUUGGACAAUGGGCGAAAGCCUGAUCCAGCAAUGCCGCGUGAGUGAAGAAGGCCUUCGGGUUGUAAAGCUCUUUUGUCAGGGAAGAAACGGUGAGAGCUAAUAUCUCUUGCUAAUGACGGUACCUGAAGAAUAAGCACCGGCUAACUACGUGCCAGCAGCCGCGGUAAUACGUAGGGUGCAAGCGUUAAUCGGAAUUACUGGGCGUAAAGCGUGCGCAGGCGGUUUUGUAAGUCUGAUGUGAAAUCCCCGGGCUCAACCUGGGAAUUGCAUUGGAGACUGCAAGGCUAGAAUCUGGCAGAGGGGGGUAGAAUUCCACGUGUAGCAGUGAAAUGCGUAGAUAUGUGGAGGAACACCGAUGGCGAAGGCAGCCCCCUGGGUCAAGAUUGACGCUCAUGCACGAAAGCGUGGGGAGCAAACAGGAUUAGAUACCCGAGUAGUCCCAU
RNAcentral lists this ribosomal RNA (474 nucleotides) under uncultured organism. Its description in RNAcentral is "partial 16S ribosomal RNA". It matches the Rfam family "Bacterial small subunit ribosomal RNA", at positions 333 to 798 of the family's 1533-position model. The record is from RNAcentral.